UGGCUCACCUUCCCCCAGCACACGAUGGGGCUGCAGCCUCCCCGGUCAGCCUGGCCUGCUGGAAAGGAGCAGCUCUGUCUCCAGAGGCUUCUGGCGAAGCCCAUGGCCUCCCAAUGUUGGCUGAUUUAUAAGGAAAGAGGGGAAAGGCCAAGUGUGGAUGCCAUUAGCAUAACCUAAUCCAGACCCCAUGACAAGUCCAGGAUCCUGCAGGGAGAGGGCAUCCUUGAACGUGAAGGACUGGGUUUGGAAACUUGGCCUCCCGGAAGAAAGGUCUCCGGGCCCACCCACACCCCCCUUGUGGACGCCCCCGCAGUCUAAUACACUCCACAGUAAGACGGACCAGGAACAGCAGCAGCCUCCGGUGUCGGCCCAGUGAUCCGGGAGCUCAGAGUUUUUGCUAAAAUAGCCUUCUCAUUGGCUGCGGCUUUGGAGGUGGCAGAAAUCAUACGUUUAAUCACGGCGCCCUCCUGCUUGCCAAGCUUUGCGUCCUCCAGAAUUGUCCUGUGAGUGACUCCCGCAGGAUGGAGACUUUUGUGUCUGGCUUCCUUCACUUCGCAGCAGGCUUCGCGGGACCCGUGUGGUGGCACCAGCGUCCAGCCCUUGGUACUGCUGAGUUGUAGGUUGUGGGACAGGUGGAGGUACCACAGUUGCUCACGGGUUCACCUGUGGAUGGGCAUGUGGGCUGUUGUGAGUGAAGCCACUUCAGACGUUUGCGUGCAGGUUUGGUGGGGACGUGCAGUUUCAUUUCUUUUGAGAGUGGGAUUGCUGGAGCCUAUGUUAAGGGUACGUUCAACUCAUCAGCUCAACUGUCUUCCAAAUGGCAGCCCCGUUUUCCACCCCCGCCAGCAACGCCCGCGACUCCAGGCGCGCUGCAUUUUCAUCAGCACCUGGCAGUGGUGAUUCAUAAUGCUUUAAAUGUUAAUUUCCCUCAUGACUAGUGAUGUUAAACAUCUUAUUAAACAUCUUAGGUAUUA
This 974-nucleotide long non-coding RNA is filed under the name Homo sapiens (human). RNAcentral's name for it is "HSALNT0385214". Lineage: Eukaryota; Metazoa; Chordata; Mammalia; Primates; Hominidae. The record is from RNAcentral.